AGUGAACGCUGGCGGUAGGCCUAACACAUGCAAGUCGAACGGCAGCACAGUAAGAGCUUGCUCUUACGGGUGGCGAGUGGCGGACGAGUGAGGAAUACAUCGGAAUCUACUUUUUCGUGGGGGAUAACGUAGGGAAACUUACGCUAAUACCGCAUACGACCUACGGGUGAAAGCAGGGGAUCUUCGGACCUUGCGCGAUUGAAUGAGCCGAUGUCGGAUUAGCUAGUUGGCGGGGUAAAGGCCCACCAAGGCGACGAUCCGUAGCUGGUCUGAGAGGAUGAUCAGCCACACUGGAACUGAGACACGGUCCAGACUCCUACGGGAGGCAGCAGUGGGGAAUAUUGGACAAUGGGCGCAAGCCUGAUCCAGCCAUACCGCGUGGGUGAAGAAGGCCUUCGGGUUGUAAAGCCCUUUUGUUGGGAAAGAAAAUCAGCAGGUUAAUACCCCGCUGUUCUGACGGUACCCAAAGAAUAAGCACCGGCUAACUUCGUG
Molecule: ribosomal RNA, 492 nt
Filed under: uncultured bacterium
Lineage: Bacteria
Description: partial 16S ribosomal RNA
Rfam family: Bacterial small subunit ribosomal RNA
Source: RNAcentral